CCUACGGGCGGCAGCAGUGGGGAAUAUUGCACAAUGGGCGCAAGCCUGAUGCAGCCAUGCCGCGUGUGUGAAGAAGGCCUUCGGGUUGUAAAGCACUUUCAGCGGGGAGGAAGGCGUUAAGGUUAAUAACCUUGUCGAUUGACGUUACCCGCAGAAGAAGCACCGGCUAACUCCGUACCAGCAGCCGCGGUAAUACGGAGGGUGCAAGCGUUAAUCGGAAUUACUGGGCGUAAAGCGCACGCAGGCGGUCUGUCAAGUCGGAUGUGAAAUCCCCGGGCUCAACCUGGGAACUGCAUUCGAAACUGGCAGGCUAGAGUCUUGUAGAGGGGGGUAGAAUUCCAGGUGUAGCGGUGAAAUGCGUAGAGAUCUGGAGGAAUACCGGUGGCGAAGGCGGCCCCCUGGACAAAGACUGACGCUCAGGUGCGAAAGCGUGGGGAGCAAACAGGAUUAGAUACCCGUGUAGUC
RNAcentral lists this ribosomal RNA (465 nucleotides) under uncultured Klebsiella sp. Its description in RNAcentral is "bacterial SSU rRNA". It matches the Rfam family "Bacterial small subunit ribosomal RNA", at positions 338 to 795 of the family's 1533-position model. The record is from RNAcentral. Lineage: Bacteria; Pseudomonadati; Pseudomonadota; Gammaproteobacteria; Enterobacterales; Enterobacteriaceae.